GACGGACCACCCGAACGUUAUUCGGAAUCACUGGGCGUAAAGGGUGCGUAGGCGGGUCUUUAAGUCAGGGGUGAAAUCCUGGAGCUCAACUCCAGAACUGCCUUUGGUACAGCACGUCUUGAGUCCGAUAGAGGUGGGUGGAAUUCCUAGUGUAGAGGUGAAAUUCGUAGAUAUUAGGAAGAACACCGGUGGCGAAGGCGGUUCUCUGGGAAUGUUCUGACGCUGAGGAGCGAAAGUGUGGGGAGCGAACAGG
RNAcentral lists this ribosomal RNA (253 nucleotides) under uncultured bacterium. Its description in RNAcentral is "partial 16S ribosomal RNA". It matches the Rfam family "Bacterial small subunit ribosomal RNA", at positions 524 to 776 of the family's 1533-position model. The record is from RNAcentral.